GCAUAUCAAUAAGCGGAGGAAAAGAAACUAACAAGGAUUCCCCUAGUAACUGCGAGUGAAGCGGGAAAAGCUCAAAUUUAAAAUCUGGCGGUCCCUGUGGCCGUCCGAGUUGUAAUUUAGAGAAGUGUUAUCCGUGCUGGACCGUGUACAAGUCUCCUGGAAUGGAGCGUCAUAGAGGGUGAGAAUCCCGUCUUUGACACGGACUGCCAGUGCUUUGUGAUGCGCUCUCAAAGAGUCGAGUUGUUUGGGAAUGCAGCUCAAAAUGGGUGGUAAAUUCCAUCUAAAGCUAAAUAUUGAGGAGAGACCGAUAGCGAACAAGUACCGUGAGGGAAAGAUGAAAAGAACUUUGGAAAGAGAGUUAAACAGUACGUGAAAUUGCUGAAAGGGAAACGCUUGAAGUCAGUCGCGCUGUUCAGGACUCAGCCUUGCUUUGCUUGGUGUACUUCCUGUUCGGUGGGUCAGCAUCAAUUUUGGUCGGUGGAUAAAGGCUUAGAGAAUGUGGCAUCUUCGGGUGUGUUAUAGCUCUGGGUCGCAUACAUCGGCUGGGAUUGAGGAACUCAGCACGCCGCAAGGCCGGGGACUUGUCCCACGUACGUGCUUAGGAUGCUGGCAUAAUGGCUUUAAUCGACCCGUCUUGAAACACGGACCAAGGAGUCUAACAUGCCUGCGAGUGUUUGGGUGGAAAACUCGAGCGCGUAAUGAAAGUGAAAGUUGAGAUCCCUGUCGUGGGGAGCAUCGACGCCCGGAGCAGACCUUUUGUGACGCAUCCGCGGUAGAGCAUGUAUGUUGGGACCCGAAAGAUGGUGAACUAUGCCUGAAUAGGGUGAAGCCAGAGGAAACUCUGGUGGAGGCUCGUAGCGAUUCUGACGUGCAAAUCGAUCGUCGAAUUUGGGUAUAGGGGGCGAAAGACUAAUCGAACCAUCUAGUAGCUGGUUCCUGCCGAA
RNAcentral lists this ribosomal RNA (944 nucleotides) under Mycena olivaceomarginata. Its description in RNAcentral is "LSU rRNA". It matches the Rfam family "Eukaryotic large subunit ribosomal RNA", at positions 38 to 965 of the family's 3401-position model. Lineage: Eukaryota; Fungi; Basidiomycota; Agaricomycetes; Agaricales; Mycenaceae. The record is from RNAcentral.